Molecule: non-coding RNA, 22 nt
Filed under: Arabidopsis thaliana (thale cress)
Lineage: Eukaryota; Viridiplantae; Streptophyta; Magnoliopsida; Brassicales; Brassicaceae
Source: RNAcentral
AUGUGAUGCCGAUACUAUGGCA